Molecule: non-coding RNA, 98 nt
Organism: Triticum aestivum (bread wheat)
Lineage: Eukaryota; Viridiplantae; Streptophyta; Magnoliopsida; Poales; Poaceae
Source: Rfam
UCAUUCGGAUUCGCCAUCAUACGCCCAACCGUGCAUUUGAUAUGCAUAUAUAUGCAUCACCAGCCACAGUAGGGCUGUAUGAUGGCGAUACCGAUUGG